GAGGUAGCGACAAGAAAUAGCAAUAUAAGGCUUAUAUGUCUUGUAAUUGGGAUGAGUAUAAUAUAAACCGCGCUACGAGUAUCAAUUGGAGGGCAAGUAUGGUGCCAGCAUCCGCGGUAAUUCCAGCUUCAAUAGCGUAUAUCAAAAUUGUUGCGGUUAAAACGCUCGUAGUUGGAUAUUUGUUGAGAACUGCCGGUCUACCCCAGUGAGUCAGCACACGGUUCGUUCUCGGCACUUUGCUGGGGAGAGUGUCUUGCCCUUCGCUGUGUGGCACAUGAUCCAGAACUUUUACUGUGAGGAAAUGAGAGUGUUUCAAGCAGGCGCCUGUCGUGAAUACGUUCGCAUGGAAUAAUAGCAUGGGAGCGCGGUCUGAAGCUGUUGUUUUUCGGUCCGUGGUAAUGAAAAUAGGGAUAGUUGGGGGUAUUAGUAUUUAACUGUCAGAGGUGAAAUUCUUGGAUUUUUUAAAGACGGACUUCUGCGAAAGCAUCCGCCCAGGAUGUUUUUAUUGAUCAAGAACGAAAGUUAGGGGAUCGAAGACGAUCAGAUACCGUCCUAGUCUUAACCUUAAACCAUGCCGACUAGAGAUGAGGGUCGUCAGAAUCGUGACGCCCUGAGCAACUUAGGGGAAACCAAAGUUUUCGGGUGCCGGGGGGAGUAUGGUCGCAAGGCUGAAACUUAAAGGAAUUGACGGAAGGGCCCCCCCCGGAGUGGAACCUGCGGCUUAAUUUGACUCAACACGGGGAAACUUAUCAGGUCCGGACAUAGAGAGGAUGGACAGACUGAUAUCUCUUUCUUGAUUCUAUGGGUGCUGGUGCAUGGCCGUUCUUAGUAGGUGGAGUGAUUUGUCUGGUUAAUUCCGUUAACGAACGAGACCUUAUCAUGAUAAAUAGUUUCCAGAACCAUAUAGUUUCAGGAUGAUUUGUUAGAGGGACUUUGUGUGUGUAACGUGAGGAAGUGUGAGGCAAUAACAGGUCUGUGAUGCCGUUAGAUGUUCUGGCCCGCACGCGCCCUACACUGAUUCGUUCAACGAGCUCCUAACCUACUCCGGAAGGAUUGGUCAACCUUGUGAAAGCGCAUCGUGAUGGGGAUAGAUUAUUGCAAUUUUUAAUCUUGAACGAGUGAAUUCUAUAGUAAAGCGUAAUCCACUCAGCAUUGGCGCUGAGUUACGUCCCCUGCCGCUUUGUACACACCGUCCGUCGCUCCUACCGAAUGAGUGGUCCGGUGAAUAAUUCGGACAGCCUAUUAUUUUAGACUUGGGAUUCGACGCGAGAAGUCUAGUAAACCUUAUCACUUAGAGGAAGGAGAAGUCGUAACAAGGUAACC
RNAcentral lists this ribosomal RNA (1323 nucleotides) under uncultured dinoflagellate. RNAcentral's name for it is "SSU rRNA". It matches the Rfam family "Eukaryotic small subunit ribosomal RNA", at positions 461 to 1804 of the family's 1831-position model. Lineage: Eukaryota; Dinophyceae. The record is from RNAcentral.